RNAcentral lists this long non-coding RNA (372 nucleotides) under Erythranthe guttata (spotted monkey flower). RNAcentral describes it as "long non-coding RNA (EGUT_LNC001430)". Lineage: Eukaryota; Viridiplantae; Streptophyta; Magnoliopsida; Lamiales; Phrymaceae. The record is from RNAcentral.
CCCUAUGUGGACCCCAACUAUCAACCACUAACGGAAUACCAGCCCCCCGUAUCCCAUACUUAUUCACCUAGAUCCACAACCAAUUUCCAAACAUUUUUAACUUUGAAAAAUCAUUAUUUAUGCAUCUUAGACUUACUAAUGAAUGACAUGAAGCUUACAUGAUCUAUCUAUGUUUAAUCAAAUAAACAAACAUAAAAGUAACAAGUACCACAACAAUUAUACUUCACAUCUUUAAUCAAAUCAUUGAACACAUAAUGAUAUAGAACAUAACACUUUAGUUUCACAUUUCAUUUCAUAAGUACACAUAAACAUUUAAUAUCACAUAGUAGCACCAAGAAGAGCAUUCUUCAACUUUAACCACGUUAUAAUCAC